Molecule: signal recognition particle RNA, 148 nt
Filed under: Homo sapiens (human)
Lineage: Eukaryota; Metazoa; Chordata; Mammalia; Primates; Hominidae
Description: Metazoan signal recognition particle RNA
Rfam family: Metazoan signal recognition particle RNA
About the family: The signal recognition particle (SRP) is a universally conserved ribonucleoprotein. It is involved in the co-translational targeting of proteins to membranes. The eukaryotic SRP consists of a 300-nucleotide 7S RNA and six proteins: SRPs 72, 68, 54, 19, 14, and 9.
Source: Rfam by way of RNAcentral
GCCAGGUGUGGUGGCGCACACCUGUAAUCCCAGCUACUCAGGAGGCUGAGGCAGGAGAAUUGCUUGAACCUGGGAGGCAGAAGUUGCAGUGAGCUGAGAUCGUGCCACUGCACUUCAGCCUGGGUGACAGAGCGAGACUCCGUCUCAA